UGGGAUAACACUUGGAAACAGGUGCUAAUACCGGAUAACAACAAUAGCUGCAUGGCUAUUGCUUAAAAGGCGGCGAAAGCUGUCGCUAAAGGAUGGACCCGCGGUGCAUUAGCUAGUUGGUAAGGUAAUGGCUUACCAAGGCGACGAUGCAUAGCCGAGUUGAGAGACUGAUCGGCCACAUUGGGACUGAGACACGGCCCAAACUCCUACGGGAGGCAGCAGUAGGGAAUCUUCCACAAUGGGCGAAAGCCUGAUGGAGCAACGCCGCGUGAGUGAAGAAGGUUUUCGGAUCGUAAAGCUCUGUUGUUGGUGAAGAAGGAUAGAGGUAGUAACUGGCCCCUAUUUGACGGUAAUCAACCAGAAAGUCACGGCUAACUACGUGCCAGCAGCCGCGGUAAUACGUAGGUGGCAAGCGUUGUCCGGAUUUAUUGGGCGUAAAGCGAGCGCAGGCGGAAAGAUAAGUCUGAUGUGAAAGCCCCCGGCUUAACCGAGGAACUGCAUCGGAAACUGUGUUUCUUGAGUGCAGAAGAGGAGAGUGGAACUCCAUGUGUAGCGGUGGAAUGCGUAGAUAUAUGGAAGAACACCAGUGGCGAAGGCGGCUCUCUGGUCUGUAACUGACGCUGAGGCUCGAAAGCAUGGGUAGCGAACAGGAUUAGAUACCCUGGUAGUCCAUGCCGUAAACGAUGAG
This 688-nucleotide ribosomal RNA is filed under the name uncultured bacterium. RNAcentral's name for it is "bacterial SSU rRNA". It matches the Rfam family "Bacterial small subunit ribosomal RNA", at positions 139 to 813 of the family's 1533-position model. The record is from RNAcentral.